AUUAAGAUUGACCUACCCAUCAUUGAUAGAUGAAUUAUGUUGGGAAUAGUCUAAUUCAUGAUAAGAUUUGAUCAACCAAAUUAAAUUGUAACUUGCCAUGUUAGUUAAAAGGGCAUACUACCUAUUAACUCACUCAAGUUUAUUUAAUUUAGGGUCAAAAUCAAGAGAUCAAAGUUAACCUACUCAAAGGUGACGAACAAUUUGUGUCAAGAAAAGCCCACUUCACUAUAUAU
This 233-nucleotide long non-coding RNA is filed under the name Carica papaya (papaya). RNAcentral's name for it is "long non-coding RNA (CPAP_LNC011405)". The record is from RNAcentral. Lineage: Eukaryota; Viridiplantae; Streptophyta; Magnoliopsida; Brassicales; Caricaceae.